UACGAAGGGGGCUAGCGUUGCUCGGAAUCACUGGGCGUAAAGCGCACGUAGGCGGAUUCCUAAGUCGGGGGUGAAAUCCUGGAGCUCAACUCCAGAACUGCCUUCGAUACUGGGAAUCUUGAGUCCGGAAGAGGUGAGUGGAACUGCGAGUGUAGAGGUGAAAUUCGUAGAUAUUCGCAAGAACACCAGUGGCGAAGGCGGCUCACUGGCCCGAUACUGACGCUGAGGCACGAAAGCGUGGGGAGCAAACAGG
Molecule: ribosomal RNA, 253 nt
Filed under: uncultured bacterium
Lineage: Bacteria
Description: partial 16S ribosomal RNA
Rfam family: Bacterial small subunit ribosomal RNA
Source: RNAcentral